This 515-nucleotide ribosomal RNA is filed under the name uncultured Paraglomus. Its description in RNAcentral is "SSU rRNA". It matches the Rfam family "Eukaryotic small subunit ribosomal RNA", at positions 569 to 1088 of the family's 1831-position model. Lineage: Eukaryota; Fungi; Glomeromycota; Glomeromycetes; Paraglomerales; Paraglomeraceae. The record is from RNAcentral.
AGCAGCCGCGGUAAUUCCAGCUCCAAUAGCGUAUAUUAAAGUUGUUGCAGUUAAAAAGCUCGUAGUUGAAUUUCAGGCCUGGCUGGACGGUCCGCCCUCUGGGUGAGAACUGUCUGUGGUCGGGUCCUACCUUCUGGCGAAGCGUCAUGGCCUUAACCGGCCGUGGCGGGGAACCAGGACUUUUACUGUGAAAAAAUUAGAGUGUUCAAAGCAGGCAGUCGCUUGAAUACAUUAGCAUGGAAUAAUGGAAUAGGACAGUGGUUCUAUUUGUUGGUUUCUAGGACCGUUGUAAUGAUUAAUAGGGAUAGUUGGGGGCAUUAGUAUUCAAUUGUCAGAGGUGAAAUUCUUGGAUUUAUUGAAGACUAACUACUGCGAAAGCAUUUGCCAAGGAUGUUUUCAUUAAUCAAGAACGAAAGUUAGGGGAUCGAAGACGAUCAGAUACCGUCGUAGUCUUAACCAUAAACUAUGCCGACUAGGAAUCGGGCGAUGUUGACAAAAUGACGCGCUCGGCACCU